Molecule: non-coding RNA, 72 nt
Organism: Biscogniauxia marginata
Lineage: Eukaryota; Fungi; Ascomycota; Sordariomycetes; Xylariales; Xylariaceae
Source: the annotation of a GenBank genome assembly
GCCUCUUUGGCUAAGUGGUAAAGCGUCGCACUCGUAAUGCGAAGAUCAUCGGUUCGAUUCCGAUAGGAGGCA